This 20-nucleotide microRNA is filed under the name Corchorus capsularis. Its description in RNAcentral is "sRNA CCACVL1_04375". Lineage: Eukaryota; Viridiplantae; Streptophyta; Magnoliopsida; Malvales; Malvaceae. RNAcentral also lists the same sequence under 1 other name. The record is from RNAcentral.
GUUGUGUUUUUUUUUUUUUU